AUUCCUGCUUUUGCAAUCUGGGAGGAACAACAAAAGGAGUCUCUCUGUGCCUCUGUCCCUCAGAUGGGGGUGCACGGGCUUCCACCAGCAAAACAUUUCCAUGUGGCUCUCGAUGGGCAGGGGACUCAGCGGCCAGCAUGGACCUGCUUUUCUAAAACUUGGGUCUGAGUCCAGGUCCAGCCCCUUCUUUGCUAUGUGGACUUUGAGGAGCAAUUGAAUCUCUGUGUCUUGUUACCAUUCAGCCAGCUGUCCACCAAUUCAGAGCGUGUUCACUGAGCACCUGCUACGUGCUGGCCUUGGGUUAAGUGCUGGAGAUAUCAAUGUGCCCUCCUGGAGCGUGUGGACCAGAGAGACAGAAUUAAACCACUAACAACAAAUAAGAGUGAGGGCUGUGGUCUCAGAGGCCUUGCAGUGGACACAUGGACAGAAAGUCCAGUCCUGGGGAGUCAAUGACACGCAAGAUAAAUCUCUGAGCAGCAAGGACAGUCAAGAUGCAAGCGUCGCUCCUUGGACUCUGAAACCUGUGUCAUUUCCUCCCUGCUUUGCAGUGCUGCCCACACAACAGCUGUUGGGUGCCGGGAAUUAGGAAUCCGGAUUCAGAGCCUGCCCAUGUGUGGCCGAGGCGACGGGCCUUCCCAGGUGUGGUGCCACAUGCCCAGAAGGCUGCUCUACAGAGGGAGGAGAACGGGGCUGGUUGCAGGGGGAAGCCGAGUUGUCUCCCCAGCAAACACUCCCAGGCACCCCUUCCUGCUUUCGAAGAGAACCUCCAUUUUCUUUGGGAAGCCCCCCUUCCCCAUAGGAUGGUGGCGAUCCCCUUUACCUCGCCAGUGAUCCACUCGGCACCUGACUCAGCUGUGGCCAAAGCGGCACGGGCCAGGGCUAGAGGAGCUUCUGGAGGGCUCCUAAGAAAGAGACGCCUGGGAAAAGCAGCCCUCUCUAGGAUUAGAUGCAGCCCUGUCUUCAUGUGUGGGCCACCGUGAUGCCAGGAAAGGAGCACUCGCCACAGAGCCAGCGAUGGAGGUGAGUGGGAAGGAAAGACGGGAUAGACCAGAUGCCGGAACACGACGGAGCCUCCAGAGAAGGCCACUGGGGCAUCCUACGUCAGGACCCGCUGUGAUGUGGGAAAACAUACUUUUCUCAUUGUGUGGGCAAGGUGAGUCAGAGUUUUCUGUUUUGUGCACAGACAUUUGAACUACUGCACAGGGACGGAAGGACACGCAGCCCAGGAGGGAGGGGCUGAGAGAGGGGCGGCUCCCCAGCCUCCAAUUCCCUCCCCAGACCUGAACGCCCAGCUUCUCUUUGCAUUGUGUGAAAUUCCAGUGUCUUCCCAAGAAAUCCUCCUUCACCAUGUAAGCAACCCUGAGGCAGAUUCUAUUGCUUGAAACCCAAAGACCCAAAGAA
Molecule: long non-coding RNA, 1401 nt
Filed under: Homo sapiens (human)
Lineage: Eukaryota; Metazoa; Chordata; Mammalia; Primates; Hominidae
Description: HSALNT0290377
Source: RNAcentral